RNAcentral lists this long non-coding RNA (407 nucleotides) under Homo sapiens (human). RNAcentral describes it as "non-protein coding lnc-EGFL7-1:2". Lineage: Eukaryota; Metazoa; Chordata; Mammalia; Primates; Hominidae. The record is from RNAcentral.
GUGGUCAAACGCUCAGCCAAGAUGGUGGGAAGCGUUCAGACAGAAGUAACUUCUAAAACAUUGCUAGGGAAACGCUCUGACAUCUUCCGUAGAGGUGAAAAAGCACAGGUCUGACUCAGGUAGCUGCGAGUUCAAGUUCAGCCGCAGGCUCUUCCCCAAGGUGCUGGUCUUCGCAGGAACCCCUUGCAGGCAGCUGCAAAGAGCAGCACGGCGCGCACACACAGGGUCCGGCUGGCGUCUGGCCAGAGCAAGGGAACAGUAAGUGUGUCCUGGAGGCGCUCGCCAUGCACUCACACGCCAUCUGUGGAUUCGGAAGUGACCUCCCCCUCGGUUGAUGAGGGUUCUCUGCGUCUGGAGAACACAGGACGUCCACAGGAAAGUUCUCCCUCCUGCACUCCCGGCUGGCU